AGGAGCUUAUCAAAUGAUGUAAGGAAGACGGAUACCACAUUUCUUAUUCAGUCCAUCCUAAGUGACGUAGAAGGAACAUCACGCUUAGAAGAGACAGAUUCAUCCUCAUUUUCGUGGAGACGUUUUCUCGUAGCAACUGGCAUUUUUGAUGUUUGUGGUGGAUUCAUAGUGGCACUUGUCUGAGCAAGUAGUUGUUGAAAUGUAUUUUUCAUAUCCUCAUCCUGAAGCCAGGGAUGCUCUAAGGCUUCCUCUAUUGUAAAACGUUUGCUUGGAUCCACUACCAACAGCUUCUUCACAAGAUCCAGAGCCAUGUUGGAUACGUGUUUCCAUUCUUUUGAAAUGAAUGUGUAUUCUCCACGAGUGAUUUGGUCUUUCAGAGAUAGUUGAGUAUUUUGCUCAUUAAAUGGUGGAUAUCCACACAAGCUACAUAAAAGAAGAAAAUAAAUUAAACAACAUAGGUUUUGUCACACAGUGUCAUUUACAUGUAUACAUUU
RNAcentral lists this long non-coding RNA (494 nucleotides) under Gallus gallus (chicken). Lineage: Eukaryota; Metazoa; Chordata; Aves; Galliformes; Phasianidae. The record is from RNAcentral.